Molecule: ribosomal RNA, 159 nt
Filed under: Heterodera elachista
Lineage: Eukaryota; Metazoa; Nematoda; Chromadorea; Rhabditida; Heteroderidae
Description: 5.8S ribosomal RNA
Rfam family: 5.8S ribosomal RNA
About the family: 5.8S ribosomal RNA (5.8S rRNA) is a component of the large subunit of the eukaryotic ribosome.
Source: RNAcentral
UGAAAUUCUAGUCUUAUCGGUGGAUCACUCGGCUCGUGGAUCGAUGAAGAACGCAGCCAACUGCGAUAAUUAGUGUGAACUGCAGAAACCUUGAACACAGAAACUUCGAAUGCACAUUGCGCCAGUGGAGUUAAAUCCAUUGGCACGCCUGGUUCAGGG